GCUGGGAUAGCUCAGUCAGUAGAGUAGGAGACUCUACAUCUCAGAGUCCUGGGUUCAAGAGUCCUGGGUUCAAGGUCUUUUCCAACU
This is a non-coding RNA of Podarcis lilfordi (Lilford's wall lizard), 87 nucleotides long. The record is from the annotation of a GenBank genome assembly. NCBI's taxonomy places the organism in Eukaryota, Metazoa, Chordata, Lepidosauria, Squamata, Lacertidae.